This is a long non-coding RNA of Megalobrama amblycephala (Wuchang bream), 424 nucleotides long. RefSeq lists it as uncharacterized. NCBI's taxonomy places the organism in Eukaryota, Metazoa, Chordata, Actinopteri, Cypriniformes, Xenocyprididae. The transcript has 4 exons. The record is from RefSeq and is a predicted model, not a curated record.
CCGAAAACUGGAAAAUGCUGCCUUCUGAGGACACAUUUCAAGGUAGUAAGGCAUCAAGAUUAAUUAAUAUUGCUGUGUUGGGCCACAUUUGUCUCCGUUUUUGAAGUUCAGCUGUUGACUGAGCCACACAAAUACUGAGGUGUGAGACAUUCUGCUGCUUUUGCUGGUGGAAAGAUUCACAGAGAAAAUCAGAGUUCUGUCAAUUACAUGAGGGUGGUUAAAUGACUGGAGACAGUUCAACAAAAAUGAAAACUCAAGUUCUACAAUCUUUUCAUUAAUACGAUGAGAACAGAUGUUAGCUGAAAGCACUGCUGCCCACACUGCAAGUGAGAGUCAGUCGUCUGUAAGAAUAUCUUAUGUUUUCUUGACUGUAAACGUGGUUUCGACGAAUUUCGUUAAAAUAAAGUGAGGUCUCUUCUUUAAA